Long non-coding RNA from Hippopotamus amphibius kiboko, 1960 nucleotides. RefSeq lists it as uncharacterized. NCBI's taxonomy places the organism in Eukaryota, Metazoa, Chordata, Mammalia, Artiodactyla, Hippopotamidae. The transcript has 3 exons. The record is from RefSeq and is a predicted model, not a curated record.
AGCACCAGGAGGGUGAUCCAACAGGCAGUUACAAGUGGCCUCGAACCAAAUGGGAAGAAUAGAAAAUCUUAGGAAAAACCCAGACGUGACGGUGAGGAACCGGAUGGGAAUAAUAGCAGGACGAACCCUGGUCGCCUGGCAGGGGCGGUGUGGCCGUGCAGCGUACCCGCGACCCUGAGCACACGUGGGAACCCACCCAGUCUGAGCAGCAGAGAGAAACACUGAAGACGACAUGAACGGGGCCUCAGGGGCGAUGAGACGAUGUCACUAGAGCCCCAGAGGAGAGGGGAGGGGAGUGAGGCUGGAAGAGAACUAGGAUAAACCAUGGCUGAGAACUCCCCAAAUUUCGUAAAAGACGUGCACCUACAGGUUCAAGAAUCUGAACAAAUCCCGAAUAGGAAAACACCCUCAAACCCACGCCAAGUCACAUCGUGACUAAACUUUUGAAAACUAAAGAUAAACCAAAAUGUUUGCAACACCCAGAAGGAAACACAUUGCUGAUGAAAAAAACAACCCCGUUUCAACAGUAGCUAGUUCAUCUGAGACCACAGAGACCAGAAGGAAGAGGCACAUUUUCAAGGGCUGAAAGGAUAGCACCGUCAACCCCAAAUUACCCUUUGGGGUGAAGGGGAAACAAAGACAACGUUCUCAGGCAGAAAUAAACACAUAAAUCAGUGAAUGAAUUUGUCAGUAGUGACCUGCCGUCCAACAGAGGGCAAAGGAAGGUUUUCAAACAGAAAGGACACGACCGGAGGACGCUUGGAGCCUUGGGAAGGAAGACGGAGCGGGCGGAGCGCAAGAUGGGCCUCCUUCCCGCCCCACAGGGGUGUCUGAGUCACAUCUGAUGGUGGAGACAAAAAUCACGACACCGUUGGACACUCUAGACAGCUGCCUUUAGGAGUGAGGAGGUGCAGAGCGCCAAACAGAGGCCAGGAUUCCGAGAUGGAGGAUGGGCCGGGUCGGGGCCUCCUGGCGGCCCCGAGGCGGAAGCUGCCGGGCCUCACUCCUCUGCCCCCGCGCAGCCGUCUCUCUCAGAGUCUCCUCCUGGCCUCACGUGAGGACACGCUCCCUGGCGGUUAGAGCCCGCAAGCAGGGCAAACCCAUGACACCCUCAGAGUGUCCGUAGGAUACGCCCCGAUGUUCGAAAUCAGCUCGCCUGUUUAACCUUGGGAGGAAUGUCUUCCCGGGGGGCUCUCCAAGAGAUCACGCGAUGAGAAAACCAGCGCGGACGUGAGAAGCGGGCAGUCCCUUCCGGCUCCCCCUGUGUGGCAGGCAGGACUGUCCGGUGCCAGGCUGGCUGCUCCCCGAGGGUGCGGUCACGCGGGUGAGCGCCUCGGGAGCAGAGCUGGUGCCCAGGAGCUGGAGGGAUGGGGCAGGGCCCGCGAGGUGCAGGGUGGGCAAGGCCGGGGCGUGAGGAGGGGUGAGCCCUGGCUGCGGCCUGACCUGCGGGCUCACUCGCCGCCUGGGCCGGCUUGGCGGGAGGGGUCCACGGGGGCCCCCCUCCCAGGCGCCCUGCACAGAGAUGGCUGCAGUGGCGGGUGGGGCAGGGGCUGCAGGGAGCCUGGGUGGACGCCUCGGAGGAACUGGGACAUUGAGACAAGACGGGUUCUGUUUACUUCUCCUCUUCGGGGUCUGUCUUCUAUUUUAAUUAUUUUCUCUCUCAUGUUUCCGUCCCCUCUGUUCAUAACAAAUUUGUUUUGCUCACGUUUGCAUGUUUUCAUCACUCUAGUUUCCUAUUUUCAGCCUCUCUGGGUUCUCACCCUGUGACGGUUUUAUUUUUCUUUUCCGUGUCUUUCCUGAAUUCUGCUACGUAUCUUUUCCUUUCCUUCAAUGAUCUCAUCAGUGCUUCGUGAGCUCUUAUAUCUCUGCUUGAACUCUUGUUUAAUAGGUGAGUGUUUCCUGCAUUUCUUUGCAUUUAUGACAUUGUCAACACAACUUCAUCUCCGGAGCAAUCGUUGAU